UUUCAUGAGCCCUAUCACGCCUUUGUAGCAUAAAUUAUCAUCUCUACUUCUCACAUAAAUCGUGGUUUUAUGUAUUAGGAAAAAGGCUACAGGUAAAGUGUAAGCUUUUAAAGAAGCAUAGACCUUUCUCAAAUGUCACAUGGAGACACAAAGCACUAUCAUCAUUUUCUCUUUCCAUUUUGGAUGUUAGGAAAGAAAAAGAACAAUGGAAAAAAGUUUAAGAGGUUGGCCGCAACAUUUGCAAAGGAAUAACAGGCCAACAUCAUGAAUAAAAUGCUAGUCAAGUGUCUCUCGGUUAGCAGCAAUCAUAAUGAUAUUUCAAAAACUGAGUUCUCCACUUCCUAAAAGCUCCAUGAAUCACAAUUCCAAAGGGAGCUUCAGCAUGUAAUUAUUGCCCCUUCAGCGUCCCCGAAGAUAACUUUGUUCAACUAGGUUGUAUCUGUGUAAGCACAAAGCCCAUAAAAUAUUUGUCCAACAUCAAAGUUCACACUUCCAAGUCAAGAGUCAAACUCAGAUCGCUAAAACAACAAAGCGGCAGAAACAAAGAGAAAAGGAUGAUUAUGGAAUAUCAAGAUCCAGAAGAUGAGACAGCUAAACAAGAAGAAAGGAUAUUGAAUUCGCAUGCCAACUGAACUAGAGCUCGGUAUGACAGCACCCUGCAAAUUCUGGUGCACAUUGGUGGCGCUAUUCACUUGCUGCAUAUACAAAGGGCAGAAGUUGAUACUCGAAAAGGAGCACAGAAUGUGCACACAAACUAAAGAUGAAUCGAGAAGAAUCUUGCACGGGAUAAUACGGAACUUACUUCAAAUUCGAUGAAACACACUGUAUGUCUUUCCUGUCUCAAAACCUUCAUCUCCUUGAAACCAGGUUGUCUGGUAGUUCAUUAAGCAAAUGAAUAGAUUAGACAUAAGAGGGAGACAUAAAAAUAAGAAAUAAUACUUCCGCAUAAACAGAAUAGCAAAAGCCAUACCCGCUGAUAAGUCCCCACAGCUCUUCCUCAUUUAUAUUCUCUCCAAGAUUGCCAAUGAACAGGGUAUUGCAAGCAGGGUUGUCUUUAGUAUUCUACAAGAAAGGAAAAAAUAGAUCAGCGGAUAAAGCAAAACACAAACUAUACCAUAAAAGGUGCAGAAAUCUUCAGAACAAGCAUAUACUGCACAAAUGCUACAUCCACCAGCUAUAUAGAGCAGAACUUUGUCUCAACAAUAUCAGCAGUAACAGUCUCCAAAUGAUCAGCAAAACACAACACUAUUAAACUGAAGGAAGUCAGAUAAGACAAACUUAACAAUAAAGUUAAUACUCUAGCCGUAAACGAAUAUGCCAUAGUAAACCCAGAUCAAAAACAGAAAUAAGACAACCUAAAAAGAAACACUAAGAGAAGGCACGCUGGAAAAUAUGUCAACCCUUAGUUCUCUGUUCUAACACAAAUCACAUUGCAGAGACAUGCAUGCAUCACCUGGACUGGCGCAUAACUGCUUGGUGCUGACACAGGAGCAGGCGCCGACACUGGCAUGUGAGCAACAGGGUAGCCUCCAUAAGGAUUGUAUGGUGGAGGACCUUGAGUGAUACACCUGAGACACAAACUACCUUACUUUUUUUUUUCAUUUGGGGGUAGAUUGAGGAUUUGAAAUAAAGGAGAUAAAAUCACUAACUACUAAUAAAAUAAAUCAUAAAACCCCUUUCAACUUUCUUUUCUUGUUUCUCCUAGAAACCUGAUUAUAUAUAGUUCAGAAAUUAGCUCUAAACUGCUAGAACUAUCAAUUCCUAUCAAUAUCACAUUUUUCGUCAUAAUGUUGUUUUAAGAUGCAAAAGAAAAUUUUGCAUUUAGAAGAACUCUUACCCAUGUGGUGCCCAGACAGGUGCCGGGGGAGGGUGGAAAGGAGAGGGACUUGAAUAACCAGUGUGUGUUUAAUCACCUCCAGUACGCAUACGUUUACUAGGGUCAUGUGCAUUUGAAUCAGCUACAAUUCCUGCAGGCAUAUCAAAUAAGAAGAGCCUACUGUAACGUUGUUUGUCAUACAAAUAGUUGAAUCCUGCAUAAACACAGUCGUGACAACCUAAACAAGCAAAUAAAUAAAAGAGGAGUCUCGGCAAUGGAGAUCAACAAAGAUGGGAAGAAAGGUGAAAUUGAAUAAGUAAAAUGUGAAGAAAAUUAUUAGGCCACUAGGAUUUCUUUAUGUAUCUUGAUGUAUUAUCUAAAGAUAAAAACUACACCUAUUAAAUGGAGGUUAGGUUAGUGGUGAACCAAGAAGGCUGAUACACUUGCUAAAUAACGGUGGGUGAAACCACUAGAGCAGAUUAUCUCCAAGGAUCUAAAAGAUUAACCACAAAUUAUGAAAUUUAAGAAAACUCGCAACCAUUGAAAUAAAAAACAAUACAAAUCAGAAAAAGACAGAGCUGCAAAGUUGAAUUUGACACCUCAAACCAAUACAAAUCAGAAAAAGACACAAAGCUUGUGCUUAUAACUCGAACAGACAUUGGCAUUUCUCUGUUAAAACUUUGCCUAUCUCACUUUCGAUUAGAGUGCUUUGACUUUGGUGCUGCGAAUCACUAUCUCAUGCUACUGCCUACUAACUUGGUUUAAAAUCAAACAGGCUUACCCUAAAGGAUCUCCUUUAGUUGCUGAUGUGUCACGUGCAGUCAACGAACUAACAGAGAAUGGGAAGAUCCUGGAAAUGGAGCGAAAUUGGUUGAGAAAUGAACCAAUCCGUGCAGGACCAGACAACAGCAUAAACUCAAUCACGAUCUCAUUGCAAAGUUUCAAAGGCCUUUUUGUCAUUACAGGCGGAGUUACAGCAGUAUGCCUCCUCAUUUUCAUAGCCAGCUACCUCUACAAGUACAGAGAUUUCCACCAGAGAAUCUCAAAUUCACAAACCACGAUUUGGUCAAAAGUCGUAGCAAUUAGCAGACACUUUGAUGGUCUCUAUCAUCCGGUCAACCACAAGAUAAACUUCCAGAAUCUGGAAUUACUCAUAAUAAUUCUUCAGAAAAUUCUAUCCAACCAACAGAUUUGCCAAUACAUCAUCAUCCCAACUCCAAUGAUAUUGUAUCCUCUGCACCAGAAGACGUACAGGAUGCUAGUGGAACAAUUCAUUAUUCGAAUUUGGAAGACAUGUCUGCUGCACAACACUCAGGAGUAGUCCAUCCAUCUGCAUAACUGAACUAAAGAUAGUUGUAGUUUUCAUUGUGCAAUUUUCGGUUUCUUUUUUGCCUUUUCUGGGCCAGUAAAGUUGCUCUGUACGUAUUACCAACUAAUUGUGCAGUUCUAUCUUCUUCUUCUUCCUUCAACUAAUAGUUCCAACUAAUGAAACUCAGAAAGUCACUCAACUAAUAGUUAUUAUCAGAAAGUGAGUUUCUUUGUUGAAGAAAAUUCAAAACAGGAUAGAUAAUUGUGUAACCUCCUGGAAGAUAUUACUGCCAGCAAACAAAAUAACGAACAAAUAUUGUAAAACAGAGGAUAAAACCAGAAACCAACAGAAUUUUCACAACUUACAUCACUUACCCAUUUAUGAUCCAAUGGAAUGGAUUUUUAGAGGAGAAGUCAAGUUAUUAAACAGUGAAACACAAGUGAAAAUCGAGAGAAGUGAUGCUGUAGCCCGGAAGAAAACAACACUACCACAGAAUCUUUCAGAACUACGAGGCACCCCAAAGGUAUCUGAAGAGAAUUGCCCAAUAUGCCAAAAUCUGCAUGUAACCCGAGAAUUUCUGUGUGCAGUUUUUGAAUAUGCAUUCUAAUUGCCAACUCCACCCUAGCAUCGUUAUAUCGUCUGUCACUACCAACAGCAGCAAAAAGAAGAAAUAAUCAUUCAAUUUCUCUUGCCCCAUGCAUGCUUAAUUUUAAUCUUUACAAGAAGAUGUAGGAGCAGAACAAACAAAAAGUUCCCAUUGUCAAAGAGUACAUAACUCAUUCCUAUUAAGUACAUCCAACCAGACAGGAUCAGAUUUCUUCCAAAUACAUGAAAAGAUGAGACUAGAGACAACCACACCAAAUAACCAAAAAGAAGCUUAAACCCGAAUUAACAAUUAUUGAAAUGAGAUAAUGGAAGAACAUCUGCUUCUGUGCUUUACUAUGUGUUUGUGUGAUAUCUUGUGCCUGAGCCGGGGGUCUUUCGGAAACGGCCUUUCUACUUCAUCAGAGGUAGAGGUAUGGACUGCGUACAUCUUACCCCCCCAGACCCCACUAAGUGGGAAUACACUGGGUUUGUUGUUGUUGUUGAGAUAAUGGACUCGAAGCACUGUUGGAAACGUCAGAUAUCUGCUGUCAUGAACUUCACAGAACAAAUACGAAAUAGUGACAUCGGAUGAUAUUCUGAUAAUUGUGGAAUCCAGUACAAGAUUAAGAUAGCAAUACAAGGUAAUAAAAUACUUGCUGAAGAAAGAGAAAAUAAAGGGAAGAUAAAGCCACAGACAGAGAGAAAUAUCUUAACCAACUUUUCCGACCGCUACUCUACCUACUCGCAUUAUUCUAUUUAAACCAGUGCUACCUCGCCCACGCCUGUUGGCAACACCGCAGAUAUAAUUAGCCAGUUUCUGAUUUGGUAAUCGCACCCUUUUGCUUCUUCUUGGCAGAUUGCCAAGUCCACUUGAUGGCUCAUUUUCACAGCUUGCCCCAACAACCUCAUCAGUUAUUAGGCCCAGAUUUGUGAAAAAAUAGUUACUCAACUCCUGUUGCUCCAUACAUGUAAAAUUUUGCAUUUCGACUUGCUUUAACUUAUGCCUCCAACAUUUCCGAGUUAAAGAUGUGCAACAAGGCUUCUCAUCUUCAUCUGAUGCAUCUUCAAAAAUAAACUGUAAAGCCAAGAAAAUCAGCAUGUAAGGACUAUGUACAACAAGAGCAAAGUUAAAAAGAACUGUCUUCAUGCUUUAAAUGUAUCGGGUUUAGUUUUUGACCGCUUUGACCGCUCGAAAACAAUACUCUCUUUCUUUAAUCGGAGCAACAUUUUCUUGAAGGGUUAAGACUCUUGGUUUUAUUCAAUGGGCAACACUUUGCCCUAAUGUUGACAGACUUAUAAGCGCGAACCAACAACAAUUAACCAGAAAAGAGCUAUGUUGCUUGGAUUCUCCAAAUAUAUUGUUGUACCCGUGUUGGAUCCUCCAACAAUACACUACUUUUGGAGGAUCCGACAUGCACAUGUCGACAUUUUUGAAGAGUCCGAGCAACAUAGGUAAAGAGGCCAUAUCACAUUAUGUGGUAAAAAGAUUCAUAUAAACAAAUUUUAAGGGCUAAGAAGAAUUUCACAAAUUCAAUUAUCUCUCUACAGGCUUAAAUUGACCAGUUAGCAGGUAAUUGCAAUGUUAGGUCAAGAAACCAAUUCCAAUGGUGCUAUGCUAGACACUGAAUCAAGAGGCUUGUAAAAACAAGGAAGAAUUUACCUUCAGGGUCUUUAAGUCAGCCUGGUGAAAAGAUAAGGUGUCCAGUUGAGGAGAAAUCCAAAGCAAACUGUCAACAAUAUCCGCAGCUGAAUACUUCAAUUUAUUUUGAAAUUUUACAUGCGAACGGUCAGUACCAUAAAGCGGAGGCACUAAGCUUUCCCUCAUGUCGGAGAAAAAGAAACAACUUAUUAGAAAUCCCAGCAGCUAGCUUCUUCAAGCUGUGUAUCUAAAGACUUUGAAAGACAUAAUACCUCAUCAUUUUUGCUUGAUAAUUCAACAGCCCUGUAGGGAUUGAUAAUAAACACCUUUAGAUGACUACAUCUCAAGGUCCACAAGGUUAGGUGCUCUAAUAUCAACCUCGUCGAAUUCAGGAGGGCAAGCACUAAAUCCCAAUUCUACCUUUUUUAGCUUGGAUACUGGUAGGUCCUUCAAAGCAAUGCAAAGACAAGAGCUGUAAAUUGGAGCAGUUUGUGGAUAGAUAGGUGAUCCAAAAGUACAAAUUGGAGGUAAAGGGUGUGCAAAGAUGAAAACUUGAUAGGAGGAUUAGAAGGGGGUAAUUCAAUCUCACAGCCUCUCAAAAGUAGAAGAUUGAGUAAAGAUGUUGUGAGGCAGAGUGGGGUAGUGGUAAUCCAGAGUCUUAGCUGUGUCCAUCAUUGUAAAAUCCAAAGCGACGAGGGCUUCAAACAUAUUGUCGAUUCCAAAAAAGCAAAUAGGGAAAGCGUAGGUGAUUUUGGCGAAUUGUUAGAAGGUGAGUAACAAAGUUGAUGCGCCUUGUCCACAUAAGUCAUAGGAAUUCCCAAAGUUUAAUGAGAGUGAUUUCCAGGCACGGUUACCGGACCCAUUACUGCACCAUCUUUAACUUCAAGGAAUGACAGGAUGUGAUGCAAAAUUUCCUCCGGCAACUCCGAAAUUCUGUCCGGCCCGCACCGCCGCCGCCUCGUCAUACUCAAAUUGUAGGUAAUCACUAAUUGAAACUAAAUAGUUAAAAAAUAAAAAAAAAAAAGGGAACGGUCGUUUUAUAUUAAAAAGAAAGUAACCAAAUAAAUUGAAAUUGAGUGUCCUCGGCUACGGCCAUAUAUAUAGAGAGAUCCAAACAAACUACAGUAUUUCCCAAAUAUCGUAGGACAUGGCUUAGUAGGCCUUCGUUUACCAAACCUACAAGUACACUGAUUUCCCAUAUAUAAAACGAAUUCAACACACAACUAAAACAAAACUCAUCCAAUCUGUUCUCAAGUCCUAUACUAAAAUCUUGUUUGGCUUACGUUUAUUUUUUCUCAAAAUUACUUGUUUCCUUUAUUUUAUUUUACUUGUUAAUUUGCUAUAUCCUUUAAAAAAAUUAAUUAGAAAUAUAUUUUACUAAAUUUAAAGAUGUUUUAAAAUUCUAAAUAGCGCAAGUAAAAUGGAAAGGAGGAGAUGUUUUUAAAAAAUAGAUGUUUGACCAAUCUUUUGAAAGAAAAUAAGUGCUUUUAGCGAGUAGUGAAACAAAAACAAACUAUUUCUUAUCAAAAGCAUUUUUGUUUUAAAACAUUACCUUUCAGAAUAAGCUAAUUUUAAAAGUUUGAUCAAACAGACUAGAAGCCUAAACCAAAUCGAAAAUUUUUGUGUGCAUUACAUUAAUUAUAAUUACCGUAAAUAUUUUUUGUAUUUUAUUAAUAACAUAAUACAUUUCUUAUAAAUUAUUAUUACAUAAUGUUUGAGCAUGUUAUUACAGAGAGUUAACUUUACAAAGACUGUAUCGUUAUAAUAAACAUUAUUGCUAUUAUAGGUAGAAUGUCGCUAUAGAAAAGUAAAAUAUAAUAUGAAAAAUCUGUUUCGGAGAAAAUCAAACUGUUAUAGUAAAAUGUCGUUAUAAUGAGAUGAUGUUAUAAAGAGUUUUCAUUGUAAAUGAAUUGUUGAAUUGUGCCACACCCUUCAACAAGAUCUUUAAAAACAUUAAUCAAAAUGAAAUUUGUCAAUAUUACCAUUUUGAUUCAUUCGAAUGUUAAAUGUCAUUAACGAAUUUGCGCUAUCUGUCACGGCGUUUUAUGUGUUAAUUAACACUUUUUUACCACUUUAAUUUUCUCAGCCAAUUAUCAAGACUUGAUUACUCAACGUAAUGAACUCCAGGGUGAAGUCAAAUUCAUGUAAAAAAGUUGCAAUCCAUGCACCCUACACGCUAAGUUGCACGGUGAGCCUAAUAUUACGUGGAAAUCAUCAGAGGUUAAAUCAUUGAUUGCACAAGAAAACCUUCACUAUGCCAUUGUAGGAAAAUUUUGUAUGGCAAAUCGGAUAUUAGCACUCUGAGAAAAAACAUCCCUAGUCAAUGUUGUGUUAAGCAAGAAUGUACGAUUGGAGUUCUGGAUACUAGGCAUAUAUUAAUCAGAUUAACAAGUUUGGAGGAUUACAUUCAAAUGUUAUCAACAGCAGCCUUCUAUAUCAAGUCACGAGAAAGAUAUUGGUAGAUGAGAACUCUUAAAUGGGACCCAUGGUUUGAACCAGAUAUUGAAACUACAAUAGGAGUUGCAUGGAUUUCUUUUCCAGAUCUACCACCUAAUUUUUUUUGCAAAGGAGGCAAUAUAUUCAAUUGCUUCUACAGUUAGAAAACCAUUAAAGGUAGACAUGGCUACUAGGAAUCAAACAAGGCCUAGUUGUGCCAAAGUAAAGAUAGAAGUGGAUCUGAUAGCAAAACUACCCCAAAGAGUCAGAAUCAAUGAGGAAAACGAUGACACUAGUGAAAUUAAAUUCAAGUGGAUUAAGAUUCAACACGACUAUAUGCCUAAGUAUUGUAAAGAAUGUUACAUGCAAGGACAUGAUAAGGCGACUUGUUGGACAAUUCACUCGAAAUUAUUUGAAGCAAAAAAAGAAGAGGAUAAUAAAGAGACUCUAAAUGAAGAAGGAAAGGGAGCAGCGGGGAAAAACAAUCACAGUAAUCGAAGACAAUAUGAAAGGGGAAUGAGUCAUUUGUAAAAACAAGAAUGGAUGACAAGGAAAAAUAAGUAUAAGAAGGAUAGGUAUGGCCAUAUAGAAGGAAAAAUAGAGUAUAAGGAUGAAAAUCCUUUUGAAGCCUUGAGGGAAGAAGGAGAAAAAAAUAGGAUAAAUCAGAUGAUGCUCAAAAUAAGAUGUAAACAAAGGAAUGGGUUAAUUAAGUUUUUAGUAAAGGUAAUGUAGCAGACAAAGCAAAGGAGAAUCAGAAUACAAAGGGAACUAAGAAUGAUGCAAGUACAGUUGGCGCUGAGGUGAAUAUACAAUAUCACAAAAAGGAUGAUACAGAAGAUCAACAACCGUCUGAGGAUAUAGAGAAUAAGGGGGAAAGUAAAAAGAAAGAAGAGACUAAACUCCCUGGCAACGAACAAGAAGAUGUAAUACAUGAUGCUAAUGAUAAAGCUAUAGUCAUGUUUGAAGAGCAUAUGAAUGAUGAUUUAACUUUAGCUAUUAGUAUGGAUGAUAAUAUUGACAGGGAAGAUCUGAGGGGCACUAUAGAAGAUGCUAAAGUAUCGGCAGAUCUAUCACCAAAGCAGAAGGAUAAAUUGAAGGAGCAGCUUUCUAAACAUAAGAAGAAAGGGUCUGGAGAUACAAUAACGGCACAAGCUAAUUUUACACAGUCAAGGAGAAUAAUACAAAGUCCAUCAAAUAUCAAAUGAAUGCACUGAUAUGGAUUAUUAGGUCAGUGAACACUCAAAAAGCGUUCACUAGACUAAUAAAUUUGUAGUAAAGACAUCACUUUUACUUUAUUGGGCCCAUGAAACUAUUUCAAGAUAAGCAACAGUUAGAUAGGUAUAGAAGAAAGUUGGGAUUGAAGCAUACUAUCGUGAAUACCAAUGGAAAAUUUUGGUUCUUUGCGGAUGAAUAUAUAGAUAUGGAAGUGAUAAAUGAUGAUGAUCAACAGAUUAGGUGCCAGCUAAUGAACUAAGAAAGUGUUACGGAAAUGGUAGUUACUUUUGUUUAUGCUAAAUGUACGCAAAGUGAGAGACUUCAAUUAUGGAAUUCUUUAUUUCACAUAUCUCAUAAUCUUCAAAUUCCCUAGCUAGUAGGAAGGGAUUUUAAUGUUAUUAUUAAUGAGGAGGAAAAAUGGGAGGUCUUCCAGUUACAGAAGAGGAGACAAUAGAUUUUAACCACUAUAUCAAUAUAUGUAUAUUGGAAGAUAAUGGGUAUAAAGAAAACAAAUUUACCUGGUGGAAUGGUAGAACGGAUGAUGAUUGCAUCUUUAAAAGACUUGAUAGGUUAUUAUGUAAUGAGAAGAUCCAAGAAUUGUUCCCGAAAAUAAAAGUGGAGCAUUUGAUUAGAAGUGGUUCUGAUCAUGCACCAAUGUUGAUUUCAUGUAGCACUGAGGUUGAGCAAAUAACUAAAAGUUUUAGAUUCCUAAACUUUUGGUUAAAGGAAGAUUCAUUCAUGAAUGUGGUCAGGAAGAAUCGUAAAUGCUGACUUUUCAGCAAAUCCUUUCAAUAUUUUUAUUAUAAACUAAAAAAGUUCAAAACAACGAUGGCACAAUGGAGUAGGGAAACCUUUGGUAAUAUUUUUCAGGAAGUUAAAACUAUGGAGGAGGUCAUUAAGAUGAUGGAGGUUCAAUUUGAAGCAGAUCCCUCAGGAAGAAAUAGAGAAAAGCUGCAAGAGGCACAAGCUAAUCUUAAUAAAUAUUUACAUAGAGAGGAGGAGUUUUGGAAACAAAAAGCAAGAAUGGAGUAGUUUAAAGAUGGGGAGAGAAAUACUAAAUUUUUCCAUUCAGUUGUGAAAGGGAGAAGGAGUAGGCUUAAAGUGAGUAGAAUCCAGAUGAGGAGGGGAAAGACGAAGAAUCAGAAAGACAUAGCAGAAGCUGCGGUGAAAUUUUAUAAUAAUCAGUUCAUGGGGCAAGAUCAUGACAUAGAUUGGGACAUUCUAAAUGAUCUUCCCAAGUUAAUUAAUGAAAAUGCUAGUGUGUUGAUGCAUAGUAUAACAUCAAAAGAAGAAAUACAUCAGGCAGUUAUGGGACUCAAUAGAACCAGUGCAAAAGGACCUGAUGGAAUGACAGGAGCUUAUUAUCAAGAUACCUGGGAUAUUAUUGACGAUGAUGUUUAUGAAUUGGUUAAGGAUUUCUUCAGUGGAGCAGAUUUGCCAAGGUAUGUAACACAGACGAAUUUGGUUUUAAUACCAAAGAAGCCUGUGGUUACUACCUUUUUGGAUUUUCGCUCAAUAUCAUUGAGCAAUUUUGUGAAUAAGAUAUUUUCACGGAUUGUUCAUGGAAGAAUCAAAUCAGUUUUAUCAAUUAUAAUAUCCAAGGAGCAAGCUGGUUUUAUGCAAGGAAGAAGUAUCACUGAAAAUGUAUUGUUGGUGCAAAAGAUUAUUUCAGAAAUCAGAAAGAGGGGCAAGUAUCCAAACUUGGUCAUAAAAUUGAAUAUGAUGAAAGCAUAUGAUAGGGUUGAAUGGAUGUUUUUAAUGAAAGUUCUUCACAAAAUUAAUUUCAGUGAGAAAUUGAUUGAUUUAGUAUAUAGAUUGGAGGAGAAUAAUUGGUACUUAGUUCUACUGAAUGGACAACCUAAAAGCUUUUUCAAAUCUGCUAGAGGCUUAAAGCAAAGGGAUCCCCUAUCCCCUACUUUAUUCAUCAUAGCUGCUGAAGUAUCAUCUAGAUCCUUAAAUUCCUUAAUGAAAAGUAAGGAGUUUAAAGGAUUUAAAGUUCCAAGAGAAAGCCUAAGGGUAAAUCAUCUUGCAUUUGCAGGUGAUAUGAUUAUCCUUUGUAAGGCUGAUGUGAGAACUAUGUAGAUGGUUGCCAAUGUUUUAGAAAAAUAUGAGCAGCUUUGAGGCAGAAAGUUAACAAAGAAAAGAGUGUCAUUUAUUUACAUCAUAAAACAUCAGGUGGGGAUGUGGUGACUGCUGAAAUAGCAACAGGUAUUUUAAGGAAAGAUUUUCCUUUUACAUACCUAGGAUGUCCGAUUUUUUACAAAAAAAAAAGCAGAAGAAUUAUUAUCAAUAAUUAAUUCAGAGGGUUAGUUCAAAAUUACAGGAUUGGAAGGGUAAGUUGCUUUCUUACGGGGAAAGAGCCAUUUUAAAAAAACAUGUUUUGCAGAGUGUUACAAUUCAUUGUUUGUCAAUGAUGAAUCAUUCGUUAAAUGUUUUUAAUUAGAUUUAUAAAAUUAUGGCUCAAUUUUUUUCGAGUAGUUGUAUAGGGGUAGAGGGAGACAUUAGACAAGAUGAUCUAAUAUAUGUCUACCUGUACAAGAAGGAAGAAUAGCAUUCUGAUACAAGAUCAACAAGGAAGACACUAACACACACUAAAACAGUCCAUGAUUUGAAGAACCGAGGACCCAUUUUGGUGACCUCUCUCGGAUUCACUACACAAUAACAAUACAAGCACGAUAACAACAAGAUUCUAAGGUGUUCAACACCUAUAAUCAGUGAGCCACAAACUAAGAUUACAACACAAUAACAAGAACAAAAAUGACACAACAAGGUCUCGGGUUUGGACACCCAAAACCGAGAAUGAACACAACAACAAUAAUAAGAUAGAAUGAUAGACAACUUGACACACAAUGCACAAACACUAUGAACCAAAGUGUAUAUUGAACACUAAGACCUAAGAAUUCAUACAAAUAACAUCAAGUUCUUACGGUGACCUCAAAGGAAUGGAAUCCCCAAGCAACCAACGUUUCAAAACAAGCAACCAACACAAGUGAUUCUACACUUGUCACAAGUGAUAUCCACACUUGUAUGAACACUCUCAAAGAGCUCUCAAAAUAUCAUCUAAGUUAUAAAAAAAUGACCUAAUAUUUUCUAUUUAUAGUCUAGGUUAUAACUUAUUAUAAAAUGACUAUAAUGCCCUUAAUGAACCAAUACAAAGGGGCGGCCUUGAAGUGUGCAUAUUGGACGGCUUUGGAGUGUUGGGACUAGUUCUCUACACUUCAAAGCUUGUUCCAUUGGUUGAGAAACCACCUGAGCUCGAGUCUUUACAUAUGGUCCACAAUCACGAUUGUACUUGUAUCAUCCUCCUUUUCUUGAAAAGGAUUCGACCUCAAAUCCGAAAUUUGCAAAACAAUUGAGGAGACAAAAAAACACAUAUUCCUCAUGACAUGAGGGUUAACAUUAGCACAAUCAACAAAAAGAUUAUUAAACCACAAGUUUACAUUCUACACACGUCGUGGGACCAUAGGGAAUAGGAUACCCUUCUAAGCACCAAAAGAAAUACUUGUCUAUCCACCUAAGUGUGACAAGAAACAAGACAAAAAAAGUGUAAUUAAUUAUAGCAUCUUGCCAAGGUGGUUCAAACUUCACAUACACCCAAACAUCCCUCUUACCCGAAUACCCUCCCAAGAAAUAGUCAGCUAGUCUAUCCACAUAAGUGUGACAAGGAACAAGAGUUGCUCAUCAAGUGGAAAACAUAGACUCUUCUUGGAACAACAAAUAGGCUUGAUAGCCGAGAUAGGAAGGCCAUACAUUUCAUGCGCCUUCAAGUCAUUCAAAAAGACAUCAUCACCAUAUUUCAAAUGAUCACCAGGAUCAAAUGGGUGGAGUGUCCAUGGACACGAGUUUAGGACACACGUCUUUUCCCCAAUACUACCACUAAUACGAUCAUAUGUUCCAUCUAUACUAGCAUGGUCAACAACAAAAAUAAUUAGAGGGCCAUCUUUAGUCCUUCGACAAACAUUUUCAACAUCACCAUUUUUACACACAAGUUGGUUUUCAUGACUUCCACAAGACAAUGUACUAUCACUUAUCGCAAUAGUUUUAAUACUAGGCGGACGUAAGUCGAUCUUGCUAGAAGAAUCAACUUUGUCAUCAUGAGGAUCAAUUAGUGUAUCCACAACCUCAAGUUGUACAUUGCCAUCACAAAUUGAAGGAACAUUUGGCUCACCUAAAGACAAACUAUCGUUCACACUUAGUUGUCUACUAGCCUCAGUCACUAGAGUGCAAUAGUUAGUUUGAUUACUUUGUAGCUCAUGUGGAGCAUGUCCACUCACGAAAACUUGAUUAGGAAGGUUUGGAUGCUCUAUCAAGUUAUCCAACUUUUUGCAAAGAGAGCUCUCUGUCCCUUCCAUUCUUCUUUCAAGAGAUUCUGUCACGACCCAACUUUUCAGGUCAUUAUAGCGCCUACCAUAACCCACCAGUAGGUAAGACAACCUGUAGUCCGGAAUGGCUAGUAACAGACUACUUAAUAAUAUAAGAAAAAGAAUACAUAUGAGAUAAAGAUCAAUACAUAGAUGAAUCCCAAAACCUGGUGGUAUCAGUACAAGAGUUUCUAAACAUAAUAAGAGUACAAAAGUGAUAUAUCAAGGAGAAAUACACUGAUUCAACUUACCUCUGAAUACAACUUAGAGGCUAGUCUAAUACAUAGGAGAGAGAUAAGUAAUACUCCGAACGUUAAGAGCUCACUCUAAGUCUCCGAAUCAGGGCUACUCCACACGAUGCACACAUCAACGGCGAUAACUCGUACUAUGAUCUGCAGGCUGUAAAGGUGUAGUAUGAGUACCAAAUGAAUAGUACUCAGUAGGCAACUGCCAAUGAGCUCCAAAGAUAAAGUAGAUAUAUACAACAUAUAAACAGAAUGAAAACUACAACCAAGAGUCCACAAAUCAUGUAAUAAGUCAAUGAGAAUAACAUGGGACAACUAUCCUGUUCAUGUCCAAGAGUCUAACAUAAUAAGACUAAGGAAGUAUCAAGGUGAACUAUCUUAUUCUAGCUACAUUCAAUAUAUGCCAAAGAUAUACCGUAUAUCCCAGGUCAAUAUACAGAUAAAGAGUGAAAGAAAGAUAUAUUGUAAUAUACAAGGUGAAGGAACGACUAUACAAUAUGAACAACGAAAAAAGGGAUAUCCGAUAGUACCAUGACUUCAUAUAGCUAUAUAUAUUUAUAUAUAUAUAAAUAGGAGGUUAUCUCAGCAUAACCUACAUUGUUAUGUUCUCAUUUUAAGAUCUCAUUGUAAUACUAUCAGGAUUCAACGAAGGAUUUCUAAUCCAUAUGGCUAGACAUAGAAUAAUCAUGCAUAGUAAUAUAAUCAUAAGAUAGCAAAGUUCGAAGACAUACCUCAAUCCCAAUACUGGAUCCAUGACCAAUCUAUCAUAAGUUAGCCAUAAUAAUGAUCAUAACCAUGAUAAUAACAAUAUCAAUAACAUCGUAAAUAAUUGGCUACUUCGGAUAACCAAAUACCUAGUCGAGCCUAUGCGUACCCCCACCACCCCAGACUUAGAAGGUUCAAUCAACAAACAAUAACACAACAUAUAUUACUUACCCAUAUCUAUGCAACCGUCCCAUACCAACUGAUAGACAUAGGUUCAUACUAGUGAUAGGCGAUGCGCAUGUAGGAAUGAAUACAAAAUAUACCAUCAAUAUCACAAUGCAUCAUAACUGUCCUCAUCAGGACCAUCAUCAUCGUCAUCAACCUCCGGCCUCACCGGGUAUCAAUAUCAUCUCAAUAGUAUCCUUCAGACUCGAAUCGGGUAUCAAUAUUAUCACAAUAUCCUCCGGCCUUGCCGGAUAUCAAUAUCAUCUCAAUAGUACCUCCGAACUCGAACCGGAUAUCAAUAUCAUCAUAAUAUCCUCCGGUCUUGUCGGGUAUCAAUAUCAUCUCAAUAGUAUCCUCCAGACUCGAACCGUGUAUCAACAUCAUCAUAAUAUCCUCCGACCUUGCCGGGUAUCAAUGUGUCAUCAUAACUCUCGACACAUAAAUAUAGACAUAUAAUAGGUGCACAGACCCAACCCAAUAUACUCAUAACCUUAAAAAUAUCUAUCUUAUCAAUACAUUCCAAUUACUCGUUAUUAGCUAACCAACAUUUAUUAUAUUAAACUGCUAGUUCGCUAGUCAUUACAUAACCUCUAGUUAUUAGCCUAAACAUUAUCCUUCAUAUAAUCCUUAUUCACGGGAUAACAACUAACCAAAAUUCAUUUAAUAGUCAACAUCUAACAUCUAGUCUAGGUUCAUCAUUAGACCAAAACCGUCAUUUAUCCACCAUUCAUUAUUAUCAACUAUUCAUCAUAUUUUUGUUACUUGUCGCCUAACGAUCUUUUAUUAAAUGACAUCAUUCAUUAACUGACCAUCAUUAGCUAUCAUGUUCCAACUAAGCAAGAUUCAUUAACUAAUACAUUAGCUUCCUAGCCAUCAAGUGCAAUAGUUAGAUAAUAGACAACUAGUUACCACAUAGCUUAACCGUCUAACAAGAAGAAAAACCAGAAGAUCAUAUUUUGGCUAUAAUCAAAUCAUUUAUAAUGGUAAAUAAUCAUGACGUACCAAACCUAUGCAUGCCAUCACCAGUAUUCAAUCAAUGGAAUAAUAAACAUCAUUCUGCAUCUUCCUCCGUCCCAUUCCGGAGAGAUGUGUAUACAAACAUAUACAUAUUCAUAUUCAUAAAUCAUAAUCACAUCAUUCACAAUGAUAAACACUUCUUGGAUAUUUAAUCAGUACCAUAACACGGCCCUUGGCCCAUUAAUUUAUCCGAAAUAAUCACAACAUCAUAAUCAUGGCCUUAGGACCAUAUACAUAUCCGGGACUCAUAUAAAUAAUCAUAUUUAUAAAUCAUAGCAUAUCUAUAAUCAUCUCACAUAUAGGAGGCAUCUCACAUCUAGGAGGCAUAAUAUCAAGCAUAUCACCUCUAUUAAACAUCUCAUAUCUAUAGGUUUUGCAUCAUGACCAAGAGAAAAAUCGUCUCUAUAAGCUCAAUAAUCAUAACUAAGAGGAAAAUCAUUUCUAUGGGUCAAAUAUCGUAACUAGGAGGAAAAUGCAUCUCUAUAGGCAAAAUAUCAUAAUUAAGAGAAAAAUGCAUCUCUAUGGGACAAAUAUCAUAAUAAAGAGGAAAAUGCAUUACUGCAUCUCUAUGGGCAAAAUAUCAUAAUUAAGAGAAAAAUGCAUCUCUAUGGACCAAAUACCAUAAUAAAGAGGAAAAUGCAUCUUUAGGGGCCAAAUAUCACAAUAAGGAGAAAAAUGCAUCUCUAUGGGCCACUAAUCAUAAUCCAACGGAAAUCAUCAUAAGUUAUCAAUUUACCAUGUAAUUCUCAUAAAUAAGGCUCAUUAGUCUCAACUAGGUCUACUAUCCGCAACUAAGCCCACAAGGGCUAACACAAAUCUUGGCCUGAGUGGGUCGGAUGAUCCCACUUCUAAUCUAUAUUUUUCAUAUUUAGGCAUACUAUGCUCCAAACUAGGCUAAGGUAUCUAGUUCAUCCUUUAAAUUUCAAGCAAGUCAUAUUAACGCCUAAGAUAGUAACUUCAACUAGAAACAAGGGUACUCAAGUCAACUCUACCAAACUUACGGUUCCAAAACUAUCACACUAGCCUAAUAAGGCUAAAUAUACAAAUCAUGCUUCAAAUGCUAAAACCAUAUUCCAAGCAUAUCAUUAUAUCAUAUCCAUGCUACAAAUUUACCCAAACUAGGGAGAAGGCAAUAGGAUUCUUUAAGGGUAUUAAGUAAUUCAACCUACGGGUCCAAAACCCUAUCUAAUCUCCAAACGUAUAUGUAUAUUCAAUACUAAGUCAUUCUAUCCAAUAUCAAUCUUAACAUUCACGUUAACACGCAAUAUAUAUCAUAAAUCAUCCAUGAAGAAAAGUAGACAGAAGCCUACCUCAAGGCUAAACCGCAAAAUCACACUUCAAGCACCACAUGCUCGUCUUCAUUUCACAAUCCCCAAAAUGUCAUCAUACUAUCAAAAAUAUAAUCUACUCAUAAAUACGAGUCUAACGAUACCCAUAUUGCACUAUUGUGCUUCGGGUCCAAAAAUGACACCAAAAACUCCAAAUGGGUCCCACAUACGAAAAUCGCAUUUUCGAGGUCAACCAGUGCUCAUCUAUCACCAAAGAAGCAUAACCCUCAAUUGAUGGGUGCAAACAAAUGAAAUUUGGGGCUAAAUCAAGCCCUAAUCUAAAUUGGGGUUUUGGGUCAAGAAUAAUGAAAUUCACUAAUAAAGUAAUGAAAUCUUACCUUAAUCCGGAUGAUAAUCAUGAUAAAAGAUGUUUACCAAGCUUCCUAGACACUCACAAGACUCAAUUUCAAGUUAUCAUACCUAUUUAGGGUUUUAGAUUCUCAAAUGUGAAAGAAAAAUCUCCAAAAUCGCGACCUUGGGUCUAUUUAUAGACUUCUUUGGCGAACAGACGCGGUACCCUACGACAGCGAAGUCAAAAACUUGUUUUUGACCCUUGGAACUCAUCCGGGACCCAAAAUAUAUGAACCAAUAGUGAAAUUUGAGUGUAAACCACAAUUCAAAUCCAUUGGAAUCAUCAAAACUUCCAUAAAAGGUCGUUUAGGCAAAAAGUGGGGCUCACAUAUAUAGUUUUGAUUUUAUGAGUUUCCGACUAAUAGGUCGAAAUGAGCUCGAGUGCAUUGGGACCCGAACCAAAGGUUUACCUAGACUAAAAUCGAUAUUUUGAAUGUGAUGGCGCAGUCGAAAUUUUCAUUCGAGAUCAUUUCGCUGAAUUUUUUGAUCGGUGGCUAUUUGGAACCAACGAAGACUUCUAAACAGGGAGUUGACUCUAAAAAUCAAACGAAAUGCCCGAUAAUCGAACCCUCAGUCCCAGCAAGUCAUAAAUGACUUAAAGAAGCUAUGGAGAAGCUCAAAUGAUGAAGAUAAGCAUAAAUAUGGAAAAUGACCUGAAGGGUCAUUACAGAUUCACAUCGGCUAAUAACAUCGUGUUCACACUCAUUAUAGCCGCCAUCAAAUCUUUCAUGGUUACCUUUUUAUAUGACAUAGUACCUAACAAAAGAAAUUCUAAAACAAAAACAUAAACAACAAGUUAAGGUUAGCAAAAAUCAUCCUCACAAACUCUCAAGCUCACACUAUGUCAAGUAUCACUCAAUGGUCUCAUAAGUGUUGGUAUGUCGUUUUUACUCCAAUGAAGUUACUUGGUCCCUGUUGUGGCUCAAGGUCGGAAUAGAUUUUUUUUUUACAACGACUCAAAACAAAUAGGUACGUACUUGAAUAAAAAAAAACUACAACGAGUUUCGAAAAGAUAAAAGCACACAAAGAAACGUAGACACGAAUAAGCAGACCCAAAACUAAUUUACAACCUAGUAGACAAUUACUAGUUUGUUAAUUAGCAAUAGAAUCAACAAAAUGCAACUAGGAAACAAAUAUUAGAAACUAAGAAAUCAAAAAAAUCGAGCUCACUUAUGUUGCAUGAACAGUAAAACGUGAUGAUGUGGCAGCCACGUAAUUGGUCGCAGUCCUACACAAUUUUUUUUAAUCACCAAUUUGAAGCUUUUGUCUUGAUACAAUUUGGAAUGGAUGAGUUUGUCUUUUGGUGGAAGAAUUCAAGUCUUAGAAACUUUUUAAAAUUUCAACUCAAAAAGUGAGACUUGACUUUACUAUUCCCACAAAACAAGGUCCUUGAAAUAUGAAAAGGUGGUUGACAAGUCUUUGAAGUGAUGUGUUCAAGUCUCUUCACCAACAACCUUUCAACUUUAUCUUACACAUUUUUGGAUCUAUGUUAUACUUUAUAUUGAUCAAGACAUUUCAAGAACAAAAAGAUCACAACAACAAUUUCUCAAGAACAAUAACAACUCCACCAAUAUUCAUCUCCGAGUCCACAAUAAUUGUACCACUCGGUAAAGAACAACAAUAUCAACCCACGACCAACUUCAAGUUUACAACAACAAGUUCAACAACAUAAGCUCAAACCUUUAGAUCUAGACAUUUUUAGUGUUGGUGAGAAAGAAACCAACACUAGAAACAAUCUAAAUAAACAAAAUACUACAAGAUCUAGUCACAAAAAAUAUGGCUCGGCCAAGACAACAAUAAGACCCAACUUUCGGCCAAGAACAAUCUCAAGAAUAUUUCACUUUUUUUUAUAUUUUUCAACUCUCAAGCCCAAGAUUGAUCUUGUUAAAACAAAAUCAAAGAUGACUUUGAUACCAAAUGAUACAAGAUUGACAAAGAAUACACUAACACACACCAAAACAGUCCAUGAUUUGAAGAACCGAGGACCCCUUUGGUGACCCCUCUCGGAUUCACUACACAAUAACAAUACAAGCACGAUAACAACAAGAUUCUAAGGCAUUCAACACAUAUAACCAGCAAGUCACAAACUAAGAUUACAACACAAUAACAAGAACAAAAAUAACACAAUAAGGUCUCGGGUUUGGAUACCCAAAACUGAGAAUGAACACAACAACAAUAAUAAGAUAGAAUGAUAGAUAACUUGACACACAAUGCACAAACACUAUGAACCAAAGUGUAUAUUGAACACUAAGACCUAAGAAUUCAUACAAAUAACAUCAAGUUCUUACGGUGAUCUCAAGAGAACGGAAUCCCCAAGCAACCAACGUUUCAAAACAAGCAACCAACACAAGUGAUUCCAUACUCGUCACAGGUGAUAUCCACACUUGUAUGAACACUCUCAAAGAGCUCUCAAAAUAUCAUCUAAGUUAUGAACAAAAAGACCUAAUAUGUCCUAUUUAUAGUCUAGGUUAUAACUUAUUACAAAAUGACUAUAAUGCCCUUAAUGAAAUAAGACAAAGGGGCGUCCUUGGAGUGUGCAUAUUGGACGGCUUUGGAGUGUUGGGACUUGUUCUCUACACUUCAAAGCUUGUUUCAUUGGUUGAGCAGACACUCGAGCUCGAGUCUUUACGUAAUGGUCCACAAUCACAAUUGUACUUGUAUCAGAUUCCGAAUACUUUAUUUUGUAAGUUAUGGUGGAAUUUUAAAACUAAAAAGAUCAUUUGGAGUGAUUUCAUGAAAAAUAACCAUUGCAGAAAAAUUAAUUGUAAUAAAGUUAUGUGGAAUAUAGGAGGUGGUUCACAAGUGUCGAAGAAGAUGCUUCAGGCCAGAGAUUUAAUAGAGCAUUAAAUUGGGUGGAAUAUUAAAGUGGGAGAGCAUCUUUCCGGCAUGAUAACUCGACUGAAUUGGGGGAUCUUUGAUACGGAAAUGAUCAUGACCUUAGAUAUUUUUUGAUCAACUUGAAGACCACCUAAAGAAUGCACAAGCCCAAGUGUGGAUGAGGCCCAAAUCAGUUUUUGAAUGCACUUCAUGGGGUGGCCUUGAGGCCUUUUUGAUGGAAAGGCCCUUUUGUCAUUUAACUAUUAUUUUGUAAUGUAAUAUAAAUAUAACAUGGUAGGGUUUAUUGUAUUAGUUUUGAUGCUUGAUAUUAUAAGAACACUCCUCUUAGAGAGAAAGACUCCAACCAAAACUAGGGCCUAACACAAAGGUGGAAUUGUUUGUGUGUGGUGUUUUGCUUGAUACGUUGGUGCUUGAGAGGUGAACGCCCCUCUUGUGUCUUUGUAAGAGUUAGGUGCGUGUUGAAUGUGGUAUUAAGGGUCCAAGAGUGGAAUAUGCUCUUAGGUUCUUAAGAUUACAACUUCAUUGUGUCUAACUAUCUAUCCUUGUUUCUUAUUUUAGGUUCGGCUUUCCAUGUUUUAUUGUUGAAUCUGUAGGUUCUUGUUGAUGUACCCGUGUUUUUCUUCAUUAUAUUGUAUUAAUAAAGUUUGUUGAUGGGCUUAUUUCAUGUGUAAACACUUAUUAUUCUCUCCAUUCUUGUUGUAAGUAGCGAAUCCAAGAGUGGUCACCUAGAUAGUCCACGGUUUCUCUUCUUGUGGACUGUUUUGGGUGUUUGAUUUGUUGUGUUCUUCGUCAUUCUUGUAUCAAUCUUGUUGGUUUAAAACUGUUAAAGGGAAUCAACAUAGGAAUUCAAUUUAAAAGCUAGCCGCAGAAAUAGAGAUGGAGUUUGAAGAAGAGAAUAUGCAGAGAGUAAUUAUUUUCUUGUUGAAAGACCACCUCAAAUUGAUCAUCAACUUAGAAACUUAAAUAGUUGCUAUUAUAACUAAAAAUAGGAUAAGGAACCAACCUAUUUCUACCAAAAUUAGAAUAACUAAUUAGUUUCCUGCCAAAGAUAGUACUCCUAAUUUAACUAGGAUUGUACGUAAAAAAAAACUGGAGAAAAAAUAAAAAAAACAGUUGCAUUCUUAAAGCAACUUUCAACACUCCUCAUUGCUUUAUGAAAUGUAAACACCAAUUCUUUGCCUUAGAAGCUCGAACUUGCUGAUUUGAAGUGUCUUAGUGAACAGGUCUUCUAGUUGUGGCAAAUUUGAAGGCUGCAGAGGAAGAGAAGUCAUUUGUUGAGGUAGUGACUGCUGCUGCUGAACUUGCUGCAUGUUUUGUUGAUAUGCUUGUUGCCGAUUUCUUGCAAGAAGAGAUGGAUGUGGACCAUGAGGAAGAGGAGGAGCUCCUAAAGGCAUUGAAACUGGCAUUGAAGUCUUAUGUUCUCCUUGAGGUGAUGAAUCAAGUGAUGGGAUAGAUAGAGGCACUGCAGUUCCAACUCCAGGUAUUGUACCCUCAGUUUGUAAUAUACUGGAGGCAAAUGCUCCAGGGGUUGAGGGGGCCUCAAGACCUGGAAAAUUACCAAGCAUGCGACCAAGAACAUUGUUUUGAUCACCCAAACCUUGCUGUCCUAAAUUGAAUUUAUCACGAGCGGAGUCGCCAGGCCUUUUUCUGCACCAGAACUUUGUUGUCUGAUCAUUGCUUCCACUGGAAAGGAGAUAACCAAUUGGGUGCCAUGAAAGAUCCCAAACACCAGUUUAAUGUGCAUUUGUAAUUUCUACUUGAGGAGCUUUAUGCCCCACAAGCCAAUGAAAUAUUGAACCAUCAUAGCUUCCGCUGACGAAAUAUUCUUCAUGAAACGGAUGCCAGGCUAAUAAUGUCACGUCGUUCUGAUGCCCACCAAAAGACUCAAGAUCUUUCAUAGCCCUUAUGUCAUAAAGCUUGAUAAUUUGAUCCUUGGAAGCAGAAAGGAUCCAGUUACCAUUCUGAUUUCACUUCACGCAGAGAACGGUAUUCUUAUGCCCGUGAAAUGAUGAAAGCUCCUUCCUUGACUUGACAUCCCAAAGUUUAACAAGAUUACAUUUUCUAUCAGAUAAUGAGCGCUCUUCUUGGCAGUUUGUGAAGUCCCAUACUUUAAUGGUAAAUUCAUUAGAACUGGUUUCAACUUCGGAAUCAUUUUUUUUACAUCUGGAUUUUCAGGGUUGAAGUCAUCAUCCUUCGAUUCAUCAGAUGGAAGUUCAAAAAUAUCAUUUAGCUUCUCUCCAGACGCAGCAGCAACAACUUCCUUAGGAUAUACUUUCUCCCAGCUGUAAGUGAAGGAAAGGUCGGUUCCUUGACUAUCAUUAAGCAAGUCAAUGCAGUCAACUUUGAAAUCACAACUAGGACAAAGCCAGCCUUCAUCAUCAGGUGGAAUGUCUUCUUUUAGCAGAGGUGGCUCCACACACAACUCAAAUCCAUAUUCUUCUUCCAAUAGAUUUAAUGAGAAACUUCUACCGCUCAUUUUGACUUUAAAUAGGUCUUGUCCAGAUGCCUCCUUGAUCAAGCAAUGUUUAUCUUCAAAAUACAAUUUGAAACCUUUUUCUAAUAACUGACCAACACUUAACAAGUUCUGGUCCAAAUCGGGUACGUAAAGAACAUCAGAAAUUGGUUUAGUGCUUGAUUGUGUUUCAAUUGUGAUGGUUCCCAUUCUUUUUGCUAGAAUAUAACCACUAUGGCCGAUCCUAACUUUUGUAACUUUAGUAGGGCUUAAAUCUUUAAAAAGAUCUUUAUCGUAAGUCAUAUGAUUUGUGCAUCCGCUAUCGAUCAACCACGACUCACUUGAGACACUGCUUGCUAAACAUGAUGCAACAAAGAGUUGAUCCUCUUCCUGUUCAUCAACAACUCAAGCCUCUGCAUCUUGUUGCUGAGUUUUAUUUUUACAGAUGAUCGCUUCAUGCCCAAGAUGAUUGCACUUAGUGCACUUAGCAUCAGGCCUCUUCCAACACUUGAAAGGUGCAUGCCCGAGCUUGCCGCGAUGCUUACAAGGAGGGUAGUUUCUUAUGAAACCACCUGUUUUAUUUUUGUUGCUUUGCGCUGCACCUUCUCCAUCAGUUAGUUAGUACUUCUUAUUAUUAUUCUUCUUAGAACGUCCAUCAUCAUGAUGCUUGGCUGGUAAGGCACCUUCGAAAGCUCUUCCUUGUCUCAUAACACGUCGUUGCUCUUGCACUUGAAAAGCACUUAAGAGCUCUGCAAGUGUUAUCUUAGACAAGUCCUUAGUAUUUUCUAAGGUUGUUAUGGUAGGCUCAAAUCUUUCAGGUGCCGUUACUAGGAUUUUCUCAAUGAUCCUUGAAUCAUUGAAAGAAGAACCCAACAAUCUGAUGCGAUUUGCUAAAUUAAGGAGCCUGUCGGAGUACUCCUUUAUGGUUUCACUUUCUUUCAUCCUUUGCAGCUCAAACUCACGUACCAGAUUCAACACUUGCAUCCCUCGAAUCCUUUCAUCUCCUUCAUACUCAAUUUUGAGAUAAUCCCAUACCUCUUUCGCUGAUUCAAGAGACAUGAUACGAGUGAAGAUAUUAGAUAAAACUGCAGUAAAUAAGCAUGUCAUUGCCUUUGAUUUUCUAGUAUUCUUCUCCUUGUGAGUUUUAAUCUGCGCCACCAUGGGAUUGUCCGGCAAGGGAGCUAUCUCAUAUUCAGCCUCAACAGCUUCCCAGAGAUCCAAAGCUUGCAGAUAUAUUCGCAUUCUAACUGCCCAGAUUUGAUAACUUUCUCCAUCGAAAGUUGGUGGUGCCAUUGAAGAAAAAAUUGCUUCUCCGUUCAUGAUAUCCACUGGAUCAGAUUGAUGCACACACUCACAGGUCCCUUAAGAUUAAAGUUUUGAUACCAAUUGUUGGUUUAAACCGUUUAAGGGAAACAACGCAGGAAUUCAAUUUAAAAGCUAGCCGCAGAAACAGAGAUGGAGUUUGAAAAAGAGAAUAUGCAGAGAGUAAUUAUUUUCUUGUUGAAAGACCACCUCAAAUUGAUCAUCAACUUAGCAACUUAAAUAGUUGCUAUUACAACUAAAAAUAGGAUAAAAGAAACAACCUAUUUCUACCAAAAUUAGAAUAACUAAUUAGUUUUCUACCAAAGAUAGUACUCCUAAUUUAACUAGGAUUGUACGUAAAAAAAAUUGGAGAAAAAAAGAAAAAAAAAGCUGCAUUCUUAAAGCAACUUUCAACAGAUCUAUAUGCUAUUACAGGUGAAAAUGAAGAAUGAGAUGAGCAUUAUAGCAGUGUCAGGCAAGCAACUAUAAAUGGAGAAUGGGGUGUAGUUGCACUACAGAAUUUAAUUCCCAAUGAUUUGGUGACUUAUAUUGUUCAAAAUAUUAAACCACCCAGAUCUGAAGAAAUUAAUGAUAAGCCUAUUUGGAUGUUGGAUCCUAAAGACAGAUUUACUGUUAAAAGUUCAUGACAGUAUAUAAGUGUAACACCCCGUACUUAAUUACGUGCAUUAGCCAUGGUUAUAUGUGUUGGAGUAUAUGUAUUGAUCAUAAGUUAGGUAUAUAUGAGUUUAAGUAUGAGUAUUGAUUAUUUUGAGAUGGUUUCAAGUGUAUAGUUUGAUUAUAUGUGUAUAGGAAUCGACUUUAUUUACACCGGAAUUUGCUCGUCAAAGUUACUAUGCGAAGUUUAUUGAGUUAGCUUUCCAACGAUAUAAAGAUUUCUGAAAACAGAUAAGUAUCGGAUAUAAGCGAGCAUGUUCAAAUCUUGAAAACGGUGGACGCAAUGAACAGUAAAUGUGCAGAAAUUUUCUGCACACAAAAGUACUGCAGCCAAACAGAUUUUUGGGUCGACUUUAAACGAUCAUAACUCCUUGUACAAAAUGAACUGUGUGAGCUGCUAUAUAUCGAUGAGAAGCCCCGAGAGUCUUCUUUCUAAUGCAAUUGGUUUUAUCCAAAUCCGACAUCUGAGUAAUGAGUUAUACUCGUUUUACUUCAGCCUCUCAAAACAGAUUUNNNNNNNNNNNNNNNNNNNNNNNNNNNNNNNNNNNNNNNNNNNNNNNNNNNNNNNNNNNNNNNNNNNNNNNNNNNNNNNNNNNNNNNNNNNNNNNNNNNNNNNNNNNNNNNNNNNNNNNNNNNNNNNNNNNNNNNNNNNNNNNNNNNNNNNNNNNNNNNNNNNNNNNNNNNNNNNNNNNNNNNNNNNNNNNNNNNNNNNNNNNNNNNNNNNNNNNNNNNNNNNNNNNNNNNNNNNNNNNNNNNNNNNNNNNNNNNNNNNNNNNNNNNNNNNNNNNNNNNNNNNNNNNNNNNNNNNNNNNNNNNNNNNNNNNNNNNNNNNNNNNNNNNNNNNNNNNNNNNNNNNNNNNNNNNNNNNNNNNNNNNNNNNNNNNNNNNNNNNNNNNNNNNNNNNNNNNNNNNNNNNNNNNNNNNNNNNNNNNNNNNNNNNNNNNNNNNNNNNNNNNNNNNNNNNNNNNNNNNNNNNNNNNNNNNNNNNNNNNNNNNNNNNNNNNNNNNNNNNNNNNNNNNNNNNNNNNNNNNNNNNNNNNNNNNNNNNNNNNNNNNNNNNNNNNNNNNNNNNNNNNNNNNNNNNNNNNNNNNNNNNNNNNNNNNNNNNNNNNNNNNNNNNNNNNNNNNNNNNNNNNNNNNNNNNNNNNNNNNNNNNNNNNNNNNNNNNNNNNNNNNNNNNNNNNNNNNNNNNNNNNNNNNNNNNNNNNNNNNNNNNNNNNNNNNNNNNNNNNNNNNNNNNNNNNNNNNNNNNNNNNNNNNNNNNNNNNNNNNNNNNNNNNNNNNNNNNNNNNNNNNNNNNNNNNNNNNNNNNNNNNNNNNNNNNNNNNNNNNNNNNNNNNNNNNNNNNNNNNNNNNNNNNNNNNNNNNNNNNNNNNNNNNNNNNNNNNNNNNNNNNNNNNNNNNNNNNNNNNNNNNNNNNNNNNNNNNNNNNNNNNNNNNNNNNNNNNNNNNNNNNNNNNNNNNNNNNNNNNNNNNNNNNNNNNNNNNNNNNNNNNNNNNNNNNNNNNNNNNNNNNNNNNNNNNNNNNNNNNNNNNNNNNNNNNNNNNNNNNNNNNNNNNNNNNNNNNNNNNNNNNNNNNNNNNNNNNNNNNNNNNNNNNNNNNNNNNNNNNNNNNNNNNNNNNNNNNNNNNNNNNNNNNNNNNNNNNNNNNNNNNNNNNNNNNNNNNNNNNNNNNNNNNNNNNNNNNNNNNNNNNNNNNNNNNNNNNNNNNNNNNNNNNNNNNNNNNNNNNNNNNNNNNNNNNNNNNNNNNNNNNNNNNNNNNNNNNNNNNNNNNNNNNNNNNNNNNNNNNNNNNNNNNNNNNNNNNNNNNNNNNNNNNNNNNNNNNNNNNNNNNNNNNNNNNNNNNNNNNNACGGUACAGUAUUGAUUAUUGUUAGGUGGUUUGGAGGUUCGGGAGGAGGAGGUAAUGGCGAAUGAUAAUUGUAAAGAAUGAAGUGAACGAAUGUAUACCGUUCCAUAAAUGUGUUUGAAUUCAAGAACCCAAUUCAGAUUAAUGAUAAGAUAAUGUACAUGAUCCUAAAAGUGUUUAUGAAGUGUGGUUCACUUCUAUUAUGAUUUAUUCACUUGCGUCUGACUUUCUUGAUCCCCCAUACCGCAUAUAAUUAUUUACAGCUUUAUAUACUCAGACAUAUUUCGUACUGAUGUCCCUCACGGGGGACUUGCAUUUCAUGCUGCAGGCACAGGUGCUUCAGCUCAUUCACAGCAUAGAUAGGAGCCAGGUCAUACAGCUAUUGUUGGUGAGCUCCAGUUUGCUUCGGAACUUUCCGAAUCGGUCCCUUAUGUUUUGUUAUUGUACAGGAGUCAUGUGUGGGCGGGUGUUUGUCCCGACCCUAGUUAUGUCAUGUAUAUCUUAGAGGCUUUGUAGACAUAAGGAAGGGUAAAGUCAUGGAAGUUUAUAUAGUGAUGUUAUAUUUGUAUAUGUGGUGGCCCCGAGACGGCCAAGUAUUAUAUAUAUAUAUAUAUUUGUGCGUGUUGUGCUGAUACAGGUAAUUAGACCCUUCUAUAUGCAACGAAGUGCUGUCCAAAUUUUUGGUGACAUGUAAGUGAAAGUACAGGUAUCUGAACGGGUUCUCCCGGGCCUUCUCGGCUUCAGGUGCCAGUCCGGCCCGAUGGGAUUUUGGGGCGUGACAAUAAGACACAAAGAGGAGCCAAAUAAAAUUUAUAAGGGAAUGUGGGUGAAAGGCUUACCUUUCAAAAUUAAUUUUAAAAUGUGGAAAUUUUAUAUCCCGGUGGAUGACAGAAUCAGGAGGUGGGGUAUGCAAGGUCCCUCAAAGUGCUGGUGUUGUGUUAAUCCUCACCAGGAUAUAAUGACACAUGUUUUCUUAAGAAGUGGUACUUCUAACAGGACUUGGUCCUAUUUUUGUUCCUUUGCAGGUUUCAAUAUUGAAGGUCUCUCACUCAGAGAGGUUGUCAUGUUAUAGUGGAAAGCAGAUGUGUCGAAAGGAAUUAAACCGUACUAUAAAGCUAUGUCAAGUAUUAUAGUAUGGGUAUUAUGAAAAAGAAGGAAUAUAAGGAAGCAUGAAGGAAAGAAUAUUUCUGUGCAGAGAGUUAUUCAUAAUGUGAAUAUAACAAUGCAUAUGUUGCUAAAAAUUAGGAAGCCUGAAAGAAUUUUUAAGGGAGGAUGGCCGGAUAUACUGAAGGAUUUGGAGAGUAUAAAAGCUGGAAUUAAAGUUACAAUGGUUCUGUGGGAGUUUCCAAAUCAAGGAUGGGUUAAGUACAAUACUGAUGGUGCUUCAAGGGGUAAUCCAGGAGUUAGGUUCUUACGCAUUUUGUUUAAGGAACGAGGAAGGUGAUUUAAUAUUUGCUGAGGCAUUUACAAUGGAGGAAACAACAAAUACAGUGGCAGAAGCUACAACAAUGUUGAAAGCUAGUAAACAUUGCAAGCAUUCAAGUUAUGACAAGGCUAAAGCAUAUGGUGUUUCACAAGGCAAUAAAAGAGUGCUACGUAUUGUUACUUACCUAGUGAUGAAUCCUUGCACUACUGAAAGAGCAAAAAGGAGAUACCAAAUGGGAGCUGAGGUGUGCGGAAACAUUGUGCAGGUGUGUGAGAGGGAUUUGGAAAGAAAUGAGUUAGGAAUCCCUAUCUAUUUUUUAUAUGUAAUAAAGGGUGUGAGCUUUUUGGACAAGGCAGAUGGUGCUGCUGGAUAUUCUUUUUGCUUUGUUAUGUUUUGUUGGGCCAUUUGGUCUUGUAAUUAUUUGAGACAUAAAUAAAAUAUCAAAACUUUAACCAAAAAAAAAUACACGCUAAGGAUUGCAAACUUGUUGAAUAGUAUCAAACUUGGAGGCUACACUGCUUGUUAGUCUUCACUGGUCCCAAAAUACUUUUACACCUUCUUCUGCAUGUUUUGAUUUCAAGUGUUGUUUGCUUAGCAAAAUAAGACUAAUAGGGGACAAUUGUUUGUCUCAUACUAGCAACUUAUUGCCACAGUCUAAUAAAUGAGAGAAAACGUUAUUGUCUAAGCACCUCAUAGUCGUAGCAACACUUUAAAUUCGGGUUGAAGAUAGAUACAAAUGAGUAAACUAUCUAAUCCAUAUACUAAGUCAAUUCUAGGAAAAUUCAAUGACGUUAAACAUUAAGCCGGCUAAUUAACUACUACCAUAUAGAUAUUUGCAACUAUUGCUUUAUAAUAUGCUUUUCUAAGGAACUAUUUAGCCUUAUAUAAAGAAUUUCUAAUACUUCUACACAAUAUUGGUGUGAUAUUGUUGAAUUGCUUGAUAACGUGCUACUAGUUGAAUAUAGUAAAGGUCUAUGAAAUGAGAUCUAAAACUUCACCAAUAAAGGUCUGAGAAAUAAGAAUAUCUAACACUACACCAAUAACCUUUACUCUCCUCAAAUCCAGGAAGUUUCAUAUAGCAUAUUUUAUUGUUGACCCUUAUGCAUAUAAUCCAACAAAACUAGAAAAAGGAUUAAAAAAGAUACACAACAAAACCAAAUCUUGGCACAUGCAUCUUAGCAUGCAAGUCUUGGUCAACUGAUGCCUAUAUAAGCAUCUCGGAAAUAAGAGUACUACAUAGUGAAUUAAAAUCAAUUAAUACAUCCUUGAAGAAACAAUGAUCAUCUCUUUCCAUUCCAUUCUUGUUAGUUUCCUUAUUACAAUGAGUUCCUCCUUAUGUUGCUCUAGCGCCUUGGGUGGCAACAGCUCAGUUAUUAACUUUCAAGUGGGUGUGAUUCUUGAUUUGGACACACAGCUCGGGCACAGGGCUCUCGAUUGUUUGAUGAUUGCUCGUUCUGACUUCUACUCACACCAUCCCAACUACACAACAAGAUUAGUUCUUCAUGCCAGGGACUCCAAAGGAAAUGCAAUUGAUGCUGCUGCUUCCGGUAAAUACUCUUCUCCUCCUUUUCCUUUAACAUUCCUAUACACUCUCUGUUAGUAUCCUCUGUCAGAAACAAAGUCUGUGUUAAUGUCCACUGUCCAGUAGAGUAUUACUAAAACGGAAAAAUAGGAAAAGAAGAAAGAAGUACCUUCGAGGAUCAGUGUAGAAUUCAGAAGCAAAACAAUCUUCUUUAAUCUAGAACACCAUGGAGCAGUUGAUUACGCUGUAUCGUCAACCUCAGUACAUCAUGCCUAGAGCAAUGAUAUUGCUUUCCUUUUUUCCUCACUUUUUUGACUUCAUUUAUUGAUGUAGCUACUACUACUACUUUUAGCAGGGGUGGAGCUAGAUGCCAUAUACAAAUUGAGCAGAACCUAGUAGCUUUGGUCAAACAAUAUAUUCGUGCUGAGGAAUUCAUUAAAUCUGUACAUACAUUAAAUUUAAGACACAGGUAUUAGCACUUGAAGUCAUCGUUCUAAAAUCUAAAACCCUUAAAUUUGAAAUCCUGACUUCACCCGACUUUAAGGCAAUUAUGUGAUCCACCACCUUGAACACUGCCAUCAAUUUCAGUAAAUUUACCUACAGACAGUACAAUCAGCUAUAUCAUGAUAUCUGGUCUGCCUGAAUGGACUGUGUGCACGCCAAAACUUGGAAAGUAAAACAUACCUUAUAGGAGAAACUUUUGGGAUAUAAAAUCCAUCUUCCCUUCGUAUAAAAAUUGCAGGUCUUCAAUUGUUGAAAGAUAUAAAAGUCGAUGCAGUAAUCGGGCCUCAAAAAUCCUCACAAGCCCACUUCUUGAUGAAUCUUGGAGAGAGAGCGCAAGUCCCAAUAGUAUCUUUCUCCGCAACCAGCCCUUCUCUUCAACCUAGAACAAAUUUUUUUGUUCAAACAGUCCAGACUGACGACACUGAGGUUGGUGCCAUUGUCAAAGCCUUCCAGUGGAAUCAGGUUGUGAUCAUUUAUGAAGAUUCAGAGUACGGCAAUGGCAUUGUUCCUUACUUGUCUAAUGCCUUGCAAGAGAUCAAUGCCCGUGUUGCCUACAAAAGCCUCAUCCCUGUAUCAGCUCACGAGGAUUUUAUACUCAAAGAGCUGUACAAGAUGACGACCAUGCAGACUAGGGUAUUCAUAGUACAUCUGUCGUAUUCUCUUGGAGCCAGGUUCUUUCUAAAAGCCAAGGCAAUAGGUAUGAUGAGUGAGGGCUAUGUCUGGAUCAUCACCAGUGAUCUUAUGGACUUGCUUUCCUCCAUGAAUUUACAUGUUGUGGAAGCCAUGCAAGGCGUAUUGGGAGUAAAGCCACUAAUUCCCAAGACUAGCAAUCUUGAUCCACAUAGAUUGCGAAAGAAAAUUUUUGACAUUGCCAAUCCUGGUUAUAAACCAGCAGAUAUUGUGAGCAAUUUUGAUGCAUGGGCAUAUGAUACCAUGUGGGCACUAGCUAUGGCUGCUGAGCAAGUUGGAACUCACUAUCCAGAAGCUUCAUAUCAGGACACAACUGCCGACCUCAAUUCUUCAGACCUAUUCAACCUUCCUAUCUCAAAAAGAGGUCCUAAACUUCUCAAAGCAAUUCUGACGACUAGGUUUAAAGGGCUUAGCGGGAUAUUCCAUCUCGUUGAUGCUAUGGCUGCUGAGCAAGUUGGAACUCACUAUCCAGAAGCUUCAUAUCAGGACACAACUGCCGACCUCAAUUCUUCAGACCUAUUCAACCUUCCUAUCUCAAAAAGAGGUCCUAAACUUCUCAAAGCAAUUCUGACGACUAGGUUUAAAGGGCUUAGCGGGAUAUUCCAUCUCGUUGAUGGAAAAUUGUAUCCAUCGUCAUAUAAAAUACUCAAUGUUGUUGGAAAUGGAGAGAAAGAAGUAGCAGUCUGGACACCGUCUCAUGGAUUAAAAAGGGUGAGACGCAACACUGCCGACAAAUUUAAUUCAACUGAGGAUUUCAGUAGUAGCAUCAUGUGGCCAGGGAAAUCUAGAGUGAUACCAAGAGGGUGGGAAGUUCCAGUGAGGGGUAAAAAGCUAAGAGUUGCAGUGGCAGUGAGACCUGGUUUUGAGGAAUACUUGAAUGUGAUGAGGGAUUCGAGGACAGGUGCUGUUCACUUUGGUGGGUACUACAUAGAAGUAUUCAAAUCAGUGAUGGCAGCUUUACCAUAUGCAGUGCCUUACGACUUCAUUCACUUUGAGAAGCCAGAUGGCUCAUGCGCAGGGAGUUACGACGAUCUUAUAUAUCAAGUGUUUCUUCAGGUAACUAUACUAUAAACUAGUCCUGGAAGCAGAAAUGUGAUUAAGCUAUCCAAUUAGUCGUUCCUCUUAUUUCCUCACCAGAUUGUGUUUCUAUUCUUUGACCCUGCAAAAUCAGAAUUAUGAUGCUGCCAUUGGAGAUAUUACAAUCACAGGAAACCGAUCAAACUACGUGGACUUCACUUUGCCAUUCGCAGAAGGAGGAGUGGUCAGAAUUGUUCCAAUUACCUACGAGGAUGAUAAUGGUAUGUGGACAUUCUUGAAGCCCAUGAAGAAAGAACUCUGGCUCACAAGUAUAGCCUUCUUCUUUGCUACGGGUUUAGCUGUUUGGAUUCUUGAACACAGAACAAGCUCAGCUUUUCGGGGUCCUCCUUCAUACCAUCUUGGCAUGAUCUUCUAUUUUCCCUUCUCCACUUUAGUAUUCGCACACAGUGAGUUGAUCUUAUCUAAAAGCAUCUUCUUCAUCUUGCAUAAAUGACUUUACCUGACUAUAUUUAUUAUUUUAUAGGAGAAAGAAUCGUGACCAAUCUGGCUCGUCUGGUUGUAGUAGUAUGGAUGUUCGUAGUACUCAUAUUGAACUCCACUUACACUGCUGGCCUAUCAUCAAGAUUGACAGUGCAGAGGCUACGACCAGCUAUUGCAGAUGUGAAGAAACUCAUCAGGAAAGGACAUUCUGUGGGCUGCUACCAAGGCUCAUUUGUAUGUGAUAAUUUAAGGGGGAUGGGUUUUAAUGACUCAAAGAUCAAGAUGUACAGGCUUCCAGAAGAUUAUAAAGAAGCUCUGUCAUAUGGAAGCAAAAGUGACAGCAUAUCAGCAUUUUUUGAUGUGGUUCCUUACUCCAAACUCUUUCUAUCGAAGUACUGUGACAAGUACACCAUUGUCGGCCCUACCUAUCGCACUGAUGGUUUUGCCUUUGUAAGCAUUAAAGCCUAUAAGCUCUACUUACUCUAGUCUCCUUUUAGUACAUUUGACAAUUAUGGUGUCUCGGCCAACUUGUGCGCACCUCAACUAAUCCACUCGAUGCCUGCUACCUCCUACUAGCACAAGUAUCAAGUAACUUCGUCCACAACGGUUAGGCAUGUGGGAAGAAAUCAUCUAGUGUUUUUUGCCGCCACUAAAAUUUAAACCUAAGACCUCAUGAUACCCCACCCCCUCUCCCACACACUUCGUUGACCCCUAGGCUUUCAUCCAUUUCCCCCUCGUAGUAUUCAGUGCAGACUGGUAAACAAAGCUCCUGCUCUGCGCGGGAUCUGGAAGAGGGCCAGACCACAUGGAUCUAUUCUGUGCAGCCUUACCCUGCAUUUCUACAUGAGGUUGUUUCCACGGCUUGAAGUCCUGACCUCCUAGUUACAUGGCAACAACUUUACCAUUUCCCCGUUGUAGCAUAUAUUUACAAUAGUGUCAUCCCUUUUUCUAGCUGGUGUACUCAUGUCUUUUGAAAAUCAACAGGUUUUCCCAAAGGGAAGUCCUUUGGUGGCUGAUGUCUCUCGAGCAGUUAUCAAGCUAACAGAGAACGGUGAGAUGUUAGACAUCCAACGGGAGUGGUCCAUAAGUGAUCCCACAUGUAAUGGCCCAGACACUACUGAAACUUCAGUCAGUGUCUCACUACAAAGUUUCAAAGGGCUCUUUGCUAUAACUGGCGCCAUCACAUCUUCAUGCUUACUAAUUUUCAUAGCCAACUACGUUUACAAAAACAGAAGUUCUCUUCAGCAAAUUUUGAAUUCCAGAACUACCGCUUGGUCCAAAAUUAAAGAAAUAGUGACACACUUUGACCAAAGAGACCUCUCGUCUCAUCCUUCUAUCAUGGAAAGAGACCCGAAGUUUAAGUAUCCAAAACCAGAAGUAGCAGAAAUUGUUUCGUCAUCAGAGUCUGUUGACUUGUCCAACACUAAUCUAACGGUACACAGUCUGCCCAUGAAUAUUCUUUCCACUCAAUUCAACAACGUUGCAGUGCCAAACAUACCUACAGAUUCAACUUUUUCAAACUCUACUGUUGUGUCACCUGUUUCGGAAGAAGAAUCAAACACCGCCAUUGACGCCUCUGACAGCUGACAACAGCAAUGCAAAAUCAGACUCCUAGCAUCUGCUCAUCAGUCACAAUAGUCGUAUAGAUGUACAGUAUAUUGGCAUGUAAAAUCCCAGGUCAUGAUAUGUAGAUGCAGAAUUUAGAUGUCGCAAAAAUAGGAAGAAUAAAGAUCAGGGUGUUUAGCAUCUUUCAGAACUUGAUAUCAUGUCCCCAGUAGUAACUGUAACCUGCCAUGGAUCUAGGAAACCAGCUUGCACUCAGUACAACAACAACAACAAACCCAGUGUAUUCCCACAUAGUGAGGUCUGGCUUGCACUCAGUACUAAAAGAAAAAAAUAAUGUGCACCGCGUCACCUACCAUGAUUACAAAUGAACCCACACACUGUCACCACAACCCAGUUCCCCAAUAAAAUUGAUCAGAGAAAAGAACAUCACAAAAAAGAGACUAUAUUUACUUACUUUCAGUAGGUUUGUUCUGGAAGGAUUGAAAAGAAAGCAACAGAAAGCAGGUAUUAGAUUCCUUAUCCCUAGAUUUCUCCUGCACCAGCUAUCAAUUACUGCAAAUGAUUAUAGAGUUUUACCAAAGAAAAAGAAAGGGAAAAAUACACAAGAAAGCUUCUUUUAGUGAAGUAAUUAUACAAUUGCAGAUAGCUAGGGAGAUAGCGAUAUGGCACUAACAUAAUAGAUCCUGCUAAGAAUUGCAAAAGAAAUUGCUUUUUGCUGACAAUAUGAUUAACUAAGAUGAACAUCAUUAAGUUAUCUUUAGUUUUCAUCCGUGUACAUGUGAUGGAAAAAAAAGAUUUACAGCUACAAGGGAUACACCUUCUCUUCCUAAACUGCACGAGUAAAUAGAUUUCUAUCUAUCCUCUAGAAAUAAAAAGAUACUGAACCUACAGGCAGCAUUUUGUAACAUGGAUGAGCAAGCUGAAAGUUAGGACUGCACUUAUCAGAAGAAUAUUGUUGUAUCUAGAACACAUCAGAAGUUUACAUGGAAUAGCAUGAUACAGUAGAUACUACAUGCCCAUGAUAGCUAGUAUUUGAUUCUUAUACUCGAACUGGACCUUGUUAAUAGCUUCACCACCUCUUUCAUAGAGGGUCUUCUGCUUACAUCCUUCUCUGUACAUCUAAGAGCUAGUGAAAGCACUUCAAUUACUUGUUCCAUGACACUUGAGUCCAUGAAUUCGUCCAAAAGGCUUGGAUCCACAAUCUCCUCAAUUUCUUCAAUUUCUGUCCAAAUAGACCUAACCCAACUGACAAUAUCUGUAUCCCCAUACAAUGAAGGAUCCAAGGCCUUCUUUCGAGUUAUAAGUUCUAACAGGACAACACCAUAACUAUAAACAUCUGACUCCUUGCUCUUUGAAGCUGCAAAUGCAGUUUCUGUCAACAAAACAGACAAGACACAGACAAUAUUAUUUUUCUGCAGAUGACUUGGUUUCCAAUAAGAGAGCAACUGAAAGGAUGUGUGAGGAAAAAAAAUGAAAACUAGGAAGAUACCUGGAGCCAUGUAUCCAACUGUACCCUGGAGGGUAUUGGAGGUGGAAGUUGCUCCAGACUGAUCAAGAAGCUUGGCAAUGCCAAAAUCAGAUAUGUGAGGCUCCAGAUCUGAGUCCAACAAGAUAUUCAUGGGCUUGAUAUCUCGAUGAACGAUUGCAGGAUCACAGUCAAAGUGGAGAUAUGACAACCCUUGAGCAGUUCCAAUAGCAAUUCGGUACCGAACACUCCAUUCUAAUGCUACAGGUGGAUUAAUCUCAUGGAGAAUAUCAUGAAGGCUCCCGUUCUCCAUGUAGUUAUAAAGAAUCAGUCCAUAAUCCUUUCUCAGCCAGAAGUCUUCUAAUUUGACAAGAUUGCGGUGUCUAACCUUUCCAAUUGUCUGAAUUUCCCUAACCAUACUUGUGCUUCCAUCCUUUAUACCAACAAACACCAGCUUCUUCACGGCAUACACUUUCCCUGGACCCAAGAUGGCCUUAAAUACAAUUCCAUGUGCUCCCCUCCCAAUGACAUACUUAUCAUUUAGGUUCUCUGUAGCUUCCAAUACUUUAUUAAGCAGGGAUGAAGCACCUUCUUGAGCACAGAUUGCAACUCCUUUCCCAGAAUUUUUGCGCCACAGAAGCAUGUAAGCAAUUACUAGGAGUAAGCAAAUGGUAAAUAACAGUACCCCAAGUGCAAUCAUUGUCGUUUCUGCUCCACUUAGGUGUCUUCCAUUUUUUGAUUGGAGAUCACAAGGCCUUAGAGUGCCAUUCUCAGGGCAAUUUGAGCCUUUUUCUGGAUCACAGUGCACGCAAAGGCCAAAGUUUCCCGAGAAAGAGGUAGGUGUUGAGUUUAGGAACUUCAUCAAAUUUGCAGGUACUGGACCAGAAAAGAGGUUGUGUGACACAUUGACGAAGAUCAAUGAACGCAUCCCCUCAAAAAUUCUUAAAGUUCCAGUAAUAUUGUUUCCAGCUACAUCUAACUUCUCCAGGAAAGUAAAUUUCCCUAGCUCUGCAGGAAUUUCACCUGUCAACCCGUUACUACUCAGAUUCAACAACCUCAGUGUUUCUCUUGAUGAAGUCGCAAUUGCUGAAUGAAUUUCACCACCAAGUGCAUUUCCGCCAAGCUGCAGCUCAGACAGCUUCUUGAGUUCAAACAAGGAGGUUGGAAUACCUCCUGAAAGAUUAUUCUCACUCAGACUCAAAAUGGAUAGCUCUCCCAAGCUUCCAAACGUGGAUGGGAUCGAUCCACUCAACAAAUUAUGGCUUGCAUCAAACUGCAACAGUCUCUGCCAGUUUGAAAGUUGAGAUGGCAGUACACCUUCCAAACUAUUGUACGACAAAUCAAGAACCUGGAGGUUGACAAGGUUUGCCAGCUCUGGUGGUAUAAACCCCGAGAGCUUAUUCACUGAUAAGUCAAUUAAUGUAACAUUUCCAAGAUUUGCCAAACUUGGGGGUAUUCUCCCACUGAAGCCAUUUUCACUGAGAUCCAAGAAAAUAGGAUUUAUAUUCUUACCAAAAUCUGGAAUGGCACCUGAGAGUUUAUUCUUUUUGAGAAUUACUCUCGCCAAAGUAGCACACUUACCUAAUUGAGAAGGAAUGCCACCUUCAAAAUGAUUAUAACCUAGCAUAAGUUUCUGUAGUUUCUUGCCAAAACAAAGAUUAGGUGGAACAGGACCUGUGAAGGCGUUGUUCGUGAAAUCCAGCAGCGUUAGACUGCUGUUAAUCCCCAAACCUUGAGGUAUAACUCCAGUGAACCGGUUGUCAAAUAAAGAUAUGUUCUUCAGUUGUUUCAACUCGGUCAUUUCAAGAGGUACCUCCCCGGUCAGGUUGUUCCGAUAGACAAGAAAAUGUUGAAGACUUUGAAUCUUCCAAAUGGCACGGGGAAUCUCGCCGCUCAAUUUGUUGGAAUAUAGAGCGAGAUACUGCAACUGGCUGAGUGACCCUAGUUCACUAGGAAUUUCACCUUCCAGUUGGUUUUCUGGUAAAAGUAAUUCCAGCAAGGACUGGCACUUCCCCAGCUCAGGUGGUAUUUUUCCAGAGAAAUUGUUGUCAGCAAGGUAAAGCUUCUCUAACUUUGUGAGCUGGCCUAGAGAAGCAGGUAUAGGGCCACUUAAACUAGAAGAGAAAGCAGCAAGAACUCGUAGGUUAGUACAAUUGCUCAAACUUGGUGGAAGAUUUCCAUUUAAAUUGUUGGAUGACAAGACCAAAGUGUCAAGAUCUUUGCAGUUCCCACCUAAACUGAAAGGGAUACUUCCUUGUAGUCUAUUACUGCUUAAGUCCAAAUAAACAAGGUGUUCUAGCUUAUCUAAAUUCUCAGGCAAACUACCAACUACAUUGUUUUCAUUCAAAUACAGUUCUUGCAAGUUAGUACAGUUACUAAUGGAAGACGGAAUUGGACCGAACAACUCAUUGUCAUAAAGAAAGAGAGACACAAGCUUAGUCAAGUUGCCAAUGCGAGAUGGGAUGGAACCAUUUAACCUGUUUUGGAAAAGGUAAAUGGAGUCCAAAUGUGGGAUAGAAAACAAGGAAUCAGGAAUAUUACCAGUCAAUGAAUUAGCGUAGAGGCUUAUGUAGGUCAACUUGUGUAAAUUUCCAAUCUUUGAAGGGAUUUCUCCAGUAAAGGUGUUGUAGGACAGGUCCAAGUAAUCAAGAAGAGUGCAAUUUACGAGUUGAGAAGGAAUAGGGCCAAAGAAAGCAUUAUAGCUCAGAUCAAUGGUACGCAAGUGCUCCAAAUAAGCAAUUUCAGGACCCAAUUGGCCAGAGAUUCCAUAGCCAGAGAGGUUCAAAGAAGUGACAAGGUGAGUGGUAUCACAUUCCACACCAACCCAAGAACAGGGAGUGGAAUCUGAAGCAUUCCAAGAAGACUUAACAGAGGAGGGCACAGCAGUCCAGUGCCUGAAAAGGGAAAGUAGAACUGUGCCAUGGGAAUUGAGAGCACAAACCGACACAGAGAAGCAGCAAAGGUAGAAAAAGAUGACAUUUUUGACAUCAAUCUUCAUAAUUUGAACAAGAAUAAGAGUGCUAUUAAGCUAGCUGGAUAUAAACAAGAAAUGUUUGUGGGAAGCAGGAAGAAAUUUGAGGUGUAAUUUAAGGAGGGGAAAAGGAAAUGGGAAUUUUCUUGAACAGCGUGAUGGUCGUCUAAGUGUGAAAGGAAAUGGGAACAUGUUGAGAAAACACCGCUGCGUCAAAGGGAUAAAUAUGAAAAUAGUGUGCUGCUUUAACUACCUUAGAUCAGUAGAGGAGAGGGGGGAGUUAAAAGUAGGAGGAUUUUCUUUUUUAAAGAUAACGAAAUGUUCGAUGAUGGUGGAACGAACUUUAAUAAAGAAAUGUUCCGGCAGAAAUGUGGUCCCCACCAUUCCGUUCAUCUGUGUGCGUAUGGACUCUUUUUGACCACUUCCUUGUCUAAUUCAGUGACUGCCUCUGUCGUCUGUGUUUCUGGGGGAUUAAUUAAUAUUAAUUUUUUGUAUAAUUGCAGUGCUAUGUUCGUAGCUUAAUUAGAUAGAUGACAUUUUGCUUGCCGAUAACUAGUUUUGCAACAACUGCAGUACCAUCAUUUCAAGUGGACAAUCUCAAAACAAAGUGACCGGCCUAAACUUGGUGUACAUUUGUACGUCUUCAAAUUUUGUCAUUUUAAAAUACUAGAAAUAAGGGAAUAAAAUUUAAAAAAAAAAAAAAAAAUUACGGAUGGGCAUUGAACAGGGCAGCAAGGCUGCUUUGGAAUUUUUAAAAAAUGGGGAAAAAGAAAGCAAAAGACGCUUGUUGAGAGCUAAGAGGACAUAGGACCAGUUCUCAAACAAGUGAACCAAUCCAUCUCCUUCGACCAUAAGUGCCUUCAAAUAAUAUAUUUUAAUAUACAACCAAUCCUUUUUUUUUUUUAUUUUUUUUUAUUUUACACAAAUUCGCCCCUAUGUGAACUGGGUCUGGGUAUGUUGUAGCGUGUGAAAAUGUCACAUAUUCAUUGCUUUCAUGUAAACACCAGGAGCGAAUCAUGUGCUGUGCUUACUAGUCACUCGAACAUAACAAGACACUGAUAACUUGCAUAAAUUUUAUGAUAAUUAUGCAGUAAUAAUAAUACAAGUGACCUUACAUAAAGAUCACGUAUUUCAAAGAUAUUUUUGUAAAACUAUUGUACCCAAGAAAAAAGAAAAACAAUACAAAUAUCACCUAAUGCCACCAACCAACCAAACACUGCAUUAGUAAAGAUAUAAAUGAUUUCACAUAGCCAACGAUACGCUGCAUAAUCAUUCGGAGAUCAUCUUUUCAGUCCCUCCAACCAAACAGUCCAUUGAUAAAACUUAGGCAAUGCACCAUUCCGAAGUUUUAACCAAUGAAAUCAAGUUAGAUGGUUAUAACCUCUAAAUUAAAUAAAAGAACAAAUACUGGCUGAUUUAGAAUCUUCCGGAUUUUCUGAUCCUACAAAAUCCUUUAACUAUUGCUCUUCAAAGUCGCUCACUCUAAAUUGUAACACAUCAUAUAUCCAACCAAAGCCAACCAUGAAACUCAAGGAGUCCAAACGUUUGAUUGCAGUUGGACUAUUGAAGUCAGCUGAGAAAAAAGGAAACAAGCAAGACAAGAACUAUCUUUCUCAUAGGGCGCCACAUCAACAUCUAUAUGAUAGUGCACACUCUGCUUGCGGAACAAAAUACCUGGACAAAGCAACUCCAGCAAUUGGCCAUUCCCAAGUAAGAGGAAGUCCCCUCUUUUAGCACAUAUCCUGCAUAACACAAGCACAGUGGAAUUUCCAGGAUCUGAAAACCUGGAUGUUACAGUGUUAUCAUCAGUUUUAAGUUAAAGAGGUUAAUGGAGUGACUGACAACCCUAACCAGAGAGAGUUGAGAUGGAUGAUCACAAUUUAUGAUGCAGAUUCUAUUUCACUACAUACAUAAUACAUUGAUAGAGGUGAUAGCAAGUCAUUUGAGGUUUAAAACAUAUGUUAGUACCAAAUAAAGAAAUUCUCAAAUGUAGAAUACAAUGUGACACCACAGACCAACACGAUGUAAGACCAGAAAUUAAAUGCAUCCUAUGAAAUCACAAAUGUGAACCCAGAAUAAGCCGACAAUGUUGAGAUGACAGUGCUUCAAAUGCAUGUCUAGGAUAAACUAUGAUAUGGUCCAAAAAGAUGUUCAUGUCAAGAUGACAAUGCCCAUGACUUGAUGAUAGCAAGGAUGCAUGCAACAGCUGCAUGAUGCAUUUGUAUUUAGCAGAGCAUAGAGAACAGAAUACAUCCCUGAAGCUACUGGCAGGUCAGAGGUGGAGGACCUCCAUUUGCGUUGGAGGCAACAGCUGGGUGGCCAAAGUCCUUCCGUUUCCCAAAUGGAUUCUUUGACUAUGUAGCUGAAUAUUAAGGAGAAAACAUGGUCAUCCAAAGAAUGUUAGAACAGAUUAGAUUUUUUUUUAAAAUCAGGGACAGGUUAGAAAUUUAUAAAACUCAAACUCCUAAAGGAGUACUUUGCAUGAGCCCUAUCACGCCUUUGUAGCAUAAAUUAUCAUCUCUACUUCUCACAUAGAUCGUGGUUUUAUGUAUUAGGAAAAAGGCUACAGGUAAAGUGUAAGCUUUUAAAGAAGCAUAGACCUUUCUCAAAUGUCACGUGGAGACACAAAGCACUAUCAUCAUUUUCUCUUUCCAUUUUGGAUGUUAGGAAAGAAAAAGAACAAUGGAAAAAAUUUUAAGAGGUUGGCCACAACAUUUGCAAAGGAAGAACAAGCCAACAUCAUGAAUAAAAUGCUAGUCAGGUGUCUCUCGGUUAGCAGCAAUCAUAAUGAUAUUUCAAAAACUGAGAGUUCUCCACUUCCGAAAAGCCCUAUGAAUCACAAAUUCCAAAGGGAGCUUCAGCAUGUAAAUAUUGCCCGUUCAGCGUCCCCGAAGAUAACUUUGUUCAACUAGAUUGUAUCUGUGUAAGCACAGAGCCCAUAAAAUAUUUGCCCAACAUCAAAGUUCACACUUUCAAGUCAACAGUCAGACUCAGAUCGCUAAAACAACAAAGCGGCAGAAACAAAGAGAAAAGGAUGAUUAUGAAAUAUCAAGAUCCAGAAGAUGAGACAGCUAAACAAGAAGAAAGG
This 41099-nucleotide long non-coding RNA is filed under the name Capsicum annuum. RNAcentral's name for it is "long non-coding RNA (CANN_LNC003880)". Lineage: Eukaryota; Viridiplantae; Streptophyta; Magnoliopsida; Solanales; Solanaceae. The record is from RNAcentral.